RNAcentral lists this ribosomal RNA (529 nucleotides) under uncultured bacterium. RNAcentral describes it as "bacterial SSU rRNA". It matches the Rfam family "Bacterial small subunit ribosomal RNA", at positions 777 to 1304 of the family's 1533-position model. The record is from RNAcentral.
AAUAGAUACCCGGGUAGUCCACGCCGUAAACGAUGAGUGCUAAGUGUUAGAGGGUUUCCGCCCUUUAGUGCUGCAGCUAACGCAUUAAGCACUCCGCCUGGGGAGUACGGUCGCAAGACUGAAACUCAAAGGAAUUGACGGGGGCCCGCACAAGCGGUGGAGCAUGUGGUUUAAUUCGAAGCAACGCGAAGAACCUUACCAAGUCUUGACAUCCCACUGACCGGUAUAGAGAUAUACCUUUCCCUUCGGGGACAGUGGUGACAGGUGGUGCAUGGUUGUCGUCAGCUCGUGUCGUGAGAUGUUGGGUUAAGUCCCGCAACGAGCGCAACCCUUGAUCUUAGUUGCCAGCAUUUAGUUGGGCACUCUAAGGUGACUGCCGGUGACAAACCGGAGGAAGGUGGGGAUGACGUCAAAUCAUCAUGCCCCUUAUGACCUGGGCUACACACGCGCUACAAUGGAUGGUACAAAGGGCUGCAAGACUGCGAAGUCAAGCCAAUCCCAUAAAACCAUUCUCAGUUCGGAUUGCAGG